GCAGGAAUGGCGAAAUGGUAGACGCGGCAGAUUUAGGAUCUGUUUUCUGAGAGUUCGAGUCUCUCUUCCUGUACAA
This 76-nucleotide transfer RNA is filed under the name Flavobacterium sp. Root901. Its description in RNAcentral is "tRNA-Leu". It matches the Rfam family "tRNA". From Rfam's summary of the family: Transfer RNA (tRNA) molecules are approximately 80 nucleotides in length. The record is from RNAcentral. Lineage: Bacteria; Pseudomonadati; Bacteroidota; Flavobacteriia; Flavobacteriales; Flavobacteriaceae.